Molecule: ribosomal RNA, 253 nt
Filed under: uncultured bacterium
Lineage: Bacteria
Description: partial 16S ribosomal RNA
Rfam family: Bacterial small subunit ribosomal RNA
Source: RNAcentral
UACGGGGGGGGCAAGCGUUGUUCGGAAUUACUGGGCGUAAAGCGUGCGCAGGCGGCUUCUCAAGUCACAUGUGAAAGCCCCGGGCUCAACCCGGGAAGUGCAUGUGAUACUGCAGAGCUUGAGUAAGGGAGAGGAUGGCAGAAUUCCUGGUGUAGUGGUGAAAUACGUAGAUAUCAGGAGGAACUCCGGUGGCGAAGGCGGCCAUCUGGCCCAUUACUGACACUCAGACCCGAAAGCGUGGGUAGCAAACAGG